Molecule: ribosomal RNA, 482 nt
Filed under: uncultured bacterium
Lineage: Bacteria
Description: partial 16S ribosomal RNA
Rfam family: Bacterial small subunit ribosomal RNA
Source: RNAcentral
AUUGAACGCUGGCGGCAUGCUUUACACAUGCAAGUCGAACGGGAACAGCACUUCGGUGGCUGACGAGUGGCGCACGGGUGGGUAAUACAUCGGAACGUGCCUAGUAGUGGGGGGUAACUACUCGAAAGAGUAGCUAAUACCGCAUGAGAUCUAAGGAUGAAAGCAGGGGACCUUCGGGCCUUGCGCUACUAGAGCGGCUGAUGGCAGAUUAGGUAGUUGGUGGGAUAAAAGCUUACCAAGCCGACGAUCUGUAGCUGGUCUGAGAGGACGACCAGCCACACUGGGACUGAGACACGGCCCAGACUCCUACGGGAGGCAGCAGUGGGGAAUUUUGGACAAUGGGCGCAAGCCUGAUCCAGCAAUGCCGCGUGCAGGAUGAAGGCCUUCGGGUUGUAAACUGCUUUUGUACGGAACGAAAAGCCCUCUUCUAAUACAGGAGGGUCAUGACGGUACCGUAAGAAUAAGCACCGGCUAACUACGUG